UUGAUCCUGCCGGACCCCACUGCUAUCGGGAUAGGACUAAGACAUGCUAGUCGCGUGCCUCAGCCAAAACGAGGCACGGCACACAGCUCAGUAACACGUGGCUAAUCUGCCCUUGGGAUAGGAAUACCCCCGGGAAACUGGGACUAAUUCCCAAUAGGUGAAGAACUCUGGAAUGAGUCUCCACCAGAAAAGAGCUUACGUUAUGCUCGUAAGUUUCGCCCAAGGAUGAGGCCGCGACCGAUCAGGUUGUUGGCGAGGUAAUGGCUCACCAAGCCUUUUACCGGUGCGGGCCGUGGGAGCGGGAGCCCGGAGAUGGGUACUGAGACAAGGACCCAGGCCCUACGGGGCGCAGCAGUCGCGAAAACUUUGCAAUAAGCGCAAGCUUGACAGGGCUAUCCCGAGUGCCAUCCGCUGAGGAAGGCUUUUACCCAGUCUAGAACGCUGGGGGAAUAAGGAGAGGGCAAGUCUGGUGUCAGCCGCCGCGGUAAUACCAGCUCUCCGAGUGGUGUGGAUGUUUAUUGGGCCUAAAGCAUCCGUAGCUGGCUAAGUUAGUCCCCUGUUAAAUCCACCGAAUUAAUCGUUGGAUCGCGGGGGAUACUGCUUGGCUAGGGGACGAGAGAGGCAGACGGUAUUUUCGGGGUAGGGGUGAAAUCCUAUAAUCCCGGGAAGACCACCAGUGGCGAAGGCUGUCUGCUAGAACGCGCCCGACGGUGAGGGAUGAAAGCUGGGGGAGCGAACCGGAUUAGAUACCCGGGUAGUCCCAGCUGUAAACGAUGCAGGCUAGGCGUUUGGACGGCCACGUGCCGUUCUAGUGCCGCAGGGAAGCUGUUAAGCCUGCCGCCUGGGGAGUACGAUCGCAAGAUUGAAACUUAAAGGAA
Molecule: ribosomal RNA, 878 nt
Filed under: uncultured archaeon
Lineage: Archaea
Description: bacterial SSU rRNA
Rfam family: Archaeal small subunit ribosomal RNA
Source: RNAcentral